RNAcentral lists this ribosomal RNA (568 nucleotides) under Phomopsis phaseoli. RNAcentral's name for it is "eukaryotic LSU rRNA". The stretch from base 211 to 364 matches the Rfam family "5.8S ribosomal RNA". The record is from RNAcentral. Lineage: Eukaryota; Fungi; Ascomycota; Sordariomycetes; Diaporthales; Diaporthaceae.
GGUCUCCGUUGGUGAACCAGCGGAGGGAUCAUUGCUGGAACGCGCUUCGGCGCACCCAGAAACCCUUUGUGAACUUAUACCUAUCUGUUGCCUCGGCGCAGGCCGGCCUUUUGUGACAAAGGCCCCCUGGAAACAGGGAGCAGCCCGCCGGCGGCCAACUAAACUCUUGUUUCUAUAGUGAAUCUCUGAGUAAAAACAUAAAUGAAUCAAAACUUUCAACAACGGAUCUCUUGGUUCUGGCAUCGAUGAAGAACGCAGCGAAAUGCGAUAAGUAAUGUGAAUUGCAGAAUUCAGUGAAUCAUCGAAUCUUUGAACGCACAUUGCGCCCUCUGGUAUUCCGGAGGGCAUGCCUGUUCGAGCGUCAUUUCAACCCUCAAGCCUGGCUUGGUGAUGGGGCACUGCCUUCUAGCGAGGGCAGGCCCUGAAAUCUAGUGGCGAGCUCGCUAGGACCCCCGAGCGUAGUAGUUAUAUCUCGUUCUGGAAGGCCCUGGCGGUGCCCUGCCGUUAAACCCCCAACUUCUGAAAAUUUGACCUCGGAUCAGGUAGGAAUACCCGCUGAACUUAAGCA